UUGCCGACUACUUCUCAAACUCCCAACCAAAUAUAUCCAAUCCGGGUGGAACCAUGGUUAAUAUUUGACUCAUCGUAUAUUGAUAAUAGUUAACCAUGGUUAAAGGGAUUGCUCGUGUAGAAUAAGGAGGAGCGGCAGCAAGACAGGAGGAAGAAAAGAAAAUCCAUUUCCCAUUUGUCUCGCCUUUCUCGUUUUCGUUUUCGUUUUCCAUCUUCGUAUUCUUUUUCACUUCACCGUUCUGGAAAACAGAGAAAGAAAAGAGGGUAUUGCUUUAUUUAUUUUUUCUUUUCUUUUUUUUCUUUCUUUCUUUCGUUUAUUUUGUCGCGUGAAAUAACUGCUUGUUUGUUUUCCAAGAAAAAAAAUCUUUUCUCCUCGAUUCAGGCUGUCGCUUUCCUGGGAAUGUUUAUAGCCUUCCAAGUUUCUUUCUCUCUUCCCUUAUCUCACCAUCUUCUUUUCAGCACAUUUCGCAUGCCCAGUACCGGUCGGUUCUCUAUCUCUAUCUCUACGUUUCCUGUUUCCUGGGUUUUUGGGUGAUUGGUUUUGUUCUUUGUACUGGGUUCUCUUUCUUGUUAUCUGGGGUUUUGUUCGUUUUUGCUAAUUCUGAGAUCUAGAUAAUGUUUUGGCGAUGGUGUUGUUGGUACAGGAUUAAUUCUGUUGGGGGUAUUUGAUAAUGGUUUGAGGAAUUCUUGAGUUCUUGGACUUGGAUUUUGAUCUGGGGUUUUGUAAUUUUGAAGCGUGUGUGUGAGAUUGAGAUUGUGUUUUGGUUUUGGAGGGUUUAGAGAUGAAGAUUGAAGAUGGGUUGCGGAGUGUUGGUGGGAAGGAUGAGGAUAAGACUGUGGUUGCUGCUGUUUUGGGAACGCGGGCUUUUAAUUACUUGAUGACUUGCUCUGUUUCGAAUGAGAAUCUGUUUAUGGCGGUGAGGAAUGAUGAGAAUUUGCAGAACAAGCUAUCGGAUCUGGUUGAGAGACCCAAUGCUUCCAAUUUCAGCUGGAACUACGCAAUUUUCUGGCAACUUUCUCAUUCUAAAUCUGGUGAAUGGGUUUUGGGAUGGGGAGAUGGAUCGUGUAGAGAUCCUAGGGAUGGAGACGAAACAGAUUCUACACAGAUUCUUAGUCUCCGGCUUGAAGAUGAGAGCCAACAGAGGAUGAAGAAAAGAGCACUGCAGAAGCUUCACACACUCUUUGGAGGCUCUGAUGAGGAUAAUUAUGCUCUUGGAUUAGACAGAGUUACUGAUACUGAGAUGUUUUUUCUUGCUUCAAUGUAUUUCUCAUUCCCUCGUGGAGAUGGGGGCCCUGGGAAGUGUUUGGCGUCCGGGAAACAUAUCUGGCUUUCGGAUGUGCUCAAUUCGCCAUCUGAGUAUUGUGUGAGAUCAUAUCUGGCAAAAUCUGCGGGAAUUCGGACGAUUGUUUUGGUGCCGACUGAUGUUGGAGUAGUUGAAUUGGGUUCUGUGAGAUCCGUGAAUGAGAGCUUAGAGUUAGUGCAGCUGAUCAGUUCACUGUUUUCAUCCCAACUUUCACUCGACAGAGUUAGGUCGUCAGCAGCGACAUUGAUGAUGGCUGAAAGAAAAGAUGAAAACACCCCAUUUUCGGGUUUGGGAAUUGCAGAAAGAGGAGAAGGAGGAGGGGGGAUUCCUAAGGUUUUUGGGCAGACUUUGAACUCGGGGAACAUGGGUCGAUCUCAUUUUAGAGAGAAACUGGCGAUUAGGAAGAUGGAUGAGAGGUCAUGGGAAGCAUGUGCCAAUGGAGGUAGAAUUCAGUUUCAAAGCCCUCGAAAUGGCAUUUGCAGUCCGAGUUUGGCACAUGUUCAUGGUCUCAAGCAGGGGAAUCCUGCAGAAAUUUAUGGCUCUCCAACUCUGCCGGUAAAUAAUAAUCACGAGCAGCUAGUCAAUGGAGUCAGAGACGAAUUUUGUCUCAACCCAUAUCAAUCACAAAAGCUGGCCCAAAUGAAAAUUGAUUUCUCUGUAGCAACUUCAAGGCCUUCUGUGAUUAACCGUGUAGGAGCAGAUUCGGAGCAUUCAGAUGUAGAGCCUCAAUGCAAAGAAGAGGGGCCUGGCACUGAUGAAAGACGACCUCGCAAACGAGGCAGAAAGCCUGCAAAUGGCAGGGAGGAACCACUAAAUCAUGUUGAGGCAGAGAGGCAGCGGCGUGAAAAGUUGAACCAGCGGUUCUAUGCUCUACGAGCUGUUGUGCCCAAUAUCUCCAAAAUGGACAAAGCUUCACUGUUGGGAGAUGCCAUUGCUUACAUUAACGAGCUUCAAGAAAAAGUGAAGGCCAUGGAAUUUGAACGUGAGAAAUCCAGCCUCACCUCAAGUGAGGCAACCCCUUCAGAGGGGAACCCAGAAAUUGAAAAUAAAGAUCAAUUCCUUGACGUCGACAUUGACGUCGAGGCUGCUCAUGAUGAAGUCAUUGUGAAGGUUAGCUGCCCAUUAGACUCACACCCUGCGUCAAGAGUUAUCAAGGCAAUGAAAGAUGCUCAGAUCAAUGUUGUUGAUUCAAAACUCUCUGAAGCAAAUGAUAAAGUUUUGCACACAUUUGUCAUCAAGUCUCCCGUAUCUGAGCAGUUGACGAAGGAGCAGUUGAUAGCCGCAUUUUCCCGGGACUCCACUUCGUUACAUCCUCUAUCGACAGUUGGGUAGCACAACAACUACAGUAACAUAGUGCAUACAUAGGUUUGUCCGUAUGUAGUGAGAAGAGCCCAACUGAAAGCUUCUUCAGAAGUUUUGAUUUACAACAGGAAGAAAAAUGCAGUAAUUCCUUUUCUUCUGCAUCAUAUAGAGUUUUUUGACUUGGGAGAAUUGAAAAGAAGAAAAGCCAUCACCUCCCUUGCCAACCAAAUCUGAUUGUUUUCCAAUCCUAGAAGGGUUUGGUGACAAAGCUAUUAACAACCAUCUAUUUGUAACAUGUGGUUAUAUGGAUUCAUAUCUAUGUAAGAUAUGAAUUUGUGUCGACCUCGACCAUGGAGACAAAGCGACAAAGACGGUGUUAGGACCGUUUUACCAAAGAUGACAUGUAGCUUGGAAUCGGUCUACUUUGAUUAAUUUCUUCGAAGUCGAUUUUUUUGUUUUUUUUAUUUUUUUGGUCCUUUUUGUAUCCUUCUCCUUCCUGGUUAGGUCAUGUAAUGUCAAAUCUGCAAUGAGAUGCAAAGAUGUAGCUUUGGAAGCUUUCUCCUGCAGAAGAGAAUGGAGGAAGAUACUGUUGCUGCCAAUGGGAGUGUUUGAUGUAAAUUGUACUUCAACACCUUUUGAAAAGCAAAGAUAAAGCAAUGAAUUUAAUUUAGGUUUGAAUA
Benincasa hispida (wax gourd) is the source of this 3285-nucleotide non-coding RNA. The record is from RefSeq and is a predicted model, not a curated record. Lineage: Eukaryota; Viridiplantae; Streptophyta; Magnoliopsida; Cucurbitales; Cucurbitaceae.